GCCAGACACAACACACGAUAUUGGGAUAAAGGCUGUCACCCCACGACAAAAACUAAACAGUUACAAGGAAGAAAUGAUGAAUGCAGCUAUUGAAAAGCUACAGAACUGGCAUGAAACAACAUUUGCAAGAAAGAUACAUGGCCUGCAAAUGAAGGAAAAGAUGCUACGAGAUUCCAGGAAGAAUGAAACAAAACAUGAAAUAGUAGAAGGGAAAAAAAAACUUGUGUGGAAAAUGCAAAACAUAUGUCUGCAGUACAGAUGACAUCAGAAUUAUAAAGGAUGCUCAUCACACUGUCUUAGGUGAUGCGUUCAAGGAGCGUUAUACAACAAAACCCCACAAGAAACGGAUUCAUUUUGAUGGUUUUGAGAAAAAAAGCAAGAUGCAUUGCCGAAAUACUGAGUGCCAG
Molecule: long non-coding RNA, 407 nt
Organism: Onychostruthus taczanowskii (white-rumped snowfinch)
Lineage: Eukaryota; Metazoa; Chordata; Aves; Passeriformes; Passeridae
Exons: 3
Source: RefSeq, a predicted model, not a curated record